RNAcentral lists this transfer RNA (66 nucleotides) under Callipogon relictus. Its description in RNAcentral is "tRNA-Arg". The record is from RNAcentral. Lineage: Eukaryota; Metazoa; Arthropoda; Insecta; Coleoptera; Cerambycidae.
AAGCAAGAAGCAAAAAUUUGCACUUAGUUUCGGCCUAAGAGUUUGAUGAAAAAUCAUCCUUGCUUA